Etheostoma cragini (Arkansas darter) is the source of this 93-nucleotide long non-coding RNA. RefSeq lists it as uncharacterized. The transcript has 3 exons. The record is from RefSeq and is a predicted model, not a curated record. Lineage: Eukaryota; Metazoa; Chordata; Actinopteri; Perciformes; Percidae.
UUUUACAAAAAUAGUCCACUGAAACGUGUUUCUGAAAACAUUUUAAGCGAGAAAUGUACAUACAGUUGCUAAAUCUUUUGAACCUGCUUAAUU